ACCUGACAUCGGUUUCUUCUUCUCCGGGAACCAUUCUUCUCAAACUGGCUCGCCUGAUAUCCCGCCGGCGACUCGGCUGCUCCCGGCGGGGGCCACCGACGAUGAUCCCGUGGCGCUGGGUGCUGGAUUUGGUGCCUCCGCUGCGUUUGAAAUGGAGGCUGUUGGUGGCUCUGGAAACGCUCUGUUUUCGGGCAGGGGAAAGGGAUUGGAAGCUUUGGUAGUGAGUAAUUUGAAGAGGGUGCAGGAAGUUGAAGAAGCUAGCAAUGAGGGUUCAAUGUGGAAUUCUGAAGAGGAUGAUGAGAGAACUGAUGAGGUGGUGGUUGAGGAGAGUGGGAAGAAGAAGAAGAAGAAGAAGGGGAUGCCGUCCAAAAAUCUUAUGGCGGAGAGGCGGCGAAGGAAGAAGCUCAAUGAUAGGUUGUACAUGCUUAGGUCUGUUGAUUAGAUGGACAGAGUUUCGAUACUUGGAGAUGCAAUUGACUACAUGAAGGAGCUACAGCAGCGGGUCAAUGAUCUUCAAAAUGAACUGGAGUCAACUCCAACUAGCUGUUCGCCAUCAUCUUCCACCAGCAUUCAACCUUUGACACCCACACUGCAAACCCUUUCUUGCCGGGUGAAGGAAGAACUGUGUCCGAUGCCAAUCCCAGGAAACCAAACAGCAAAGGUGGAAGUUAAGGUAAGGGACGGUAAAGCUAUCAAUAUUCACAUGUUUUGUAGCCGCCGACCAGGUCUUCUGGUCUCUACAAUGCAGGCUCUGGAUAACCUCGGAUUAGAUGUUCACCAAGCUGUUAUUAGCUGCUUCAAUGGUUUUGCUUUAGACAUCUUUAAAGCUGAGCAAUGCAGAGAAGGGCAAGAUGUGCUUCCUGAGGAAAUCAAAGCAGUUCUGCUGGAUUCAGCAGGUAUCCAUGAUAUGAUGUGAUUCAAGUUCUUAAUUGGUAAAUGGAAUUAGAGAAAUACUAACAGUGAUUGCUGUUGUAACUUGCAAGCAGGAUCCAAAUAAAGCAUUACUGGGAAGAUCAAAUAGCAAAUUAGCAUAAUUUGAAGGUUGAAGAGUUGUCUUGUGAUAUCUUGUCAUGAUUUUAGCAAAGCAAAUGAUGUCACAUUGUUUUUUUUAA
Non-coding RNA from Arachis ipaensis, 1112 nucleotides. NCBI's taxonomy places the organism in Eukaryota, Viridiplantae, Streptophyta, Magnoliopsida, Fabales, Fabaceae. The record is from RefSeq and is a predicted model, not a curated record.